Molecule: ribosomal RNA, 492 nt
Filed under: uncultured bacterium
Lineage: Bacteria
Description: partial 16S ribosomal RNA
Rfam family: Bacterial small subunit ribosomal RNA
Source: RNAcentral
AGUGAACGCUGGCGGUAGGCCUAACACAUGCAAGUCGAACGGCAGCACAGUAAGAGCUUGCUCUUACGGGUGGCGAGUGGCGGACGGGUGAGGAAUACAUCGGAAUCUACUUUUUCGUGGGGGAUAACGUAGGGAAACUUACGCUAAUACCGCAUACGACCUACGGGUGAAAGCAGGGGAUCUUCGGACCUUGCGCGAGUGAAUGAGCCGAUGUCGGAUUAGCUAGUUGGCGGGGUAAAGGCCCACCAAGGCGACGAUCCGUAGCUGGUCUGAGAGGAUGAUCAGCCACACUGGAACUGAGCCACGGUCCAGACUCCUACGGGAGGCAGCAGUGGGGAAUAUUGGACAAUGGGCGCAAGCCUGAUCCAGCCAUACCGCGUGGGUGAAGAAGGCCUUCGGGUUGUAAAGCCCUUUUGUCGGGAAAGAAAAGCAGCAGGUUAAUACCCCGCUGUUCUGACGGUACCCAAAGAAUAAGCACCGGCUAACUUCGUG